Molecule: ribosomal RNA, 497 nt
Filed under: uncultured bacterium
Lineage: Bacteria
Description: partial 16S ribosomal RNA
Rfam family: Bacterial small subunit ribosomal RNA
Source: RNAcentral
GAUGAACGCUGGCGGCGUGCCUAAUACAUGCAAGUCGAGCGAACAGACGAGGAGCUUGCUCCUCUGACGUUAGCGGCGGACGGGUGAGUGACACGUGGAUAACCUACCUAUAAGACUGGGAUAACUUCGGGAAACCGGAGCUAAUACCGGAUAAUAUAUUGAACCGCAUGGUUCAAUAGUGAAAGACGGUUUUGCUGUCACUUAUAGAUGGAUCCGCGCCGCAUUAGCUAGUUGGUAAGGUAACGGCUUACCAAGGCAACGAUGCGUAGCCGACCUGAGAGGGUGAUCGGCCACACUGGAACUGAGACACGGUCCAGACUCCUGCGGGAGGCAGCAGUAGGGAAUCUUCCGCAAUGGGCGAAAGCCUGACGGAGCAACGCCGCGUGAGUGAUGAAGGUCUUCGGAUCGUAAAACUCUGUUAUUAGGGAAGAACAAAUGUGUAAGUAACUAUGCACGUCUUGACGGUACCUAAUCAGAAAGCCACGGCUAACUACGUG